This 497-nucleotide ribosomal RNA is filed under the name uncultured bacterium. Its description in RNAcentral is "partial 16S ribosomal RNA". It matches the Rfam family "Bacterial small subunit ribosomal RNA", at positions 28 to 507 of the family's 1533-position model. The record is from RNAcentral.
GAUGAACGCUGGCGGCGUGCCUAAUACAUGCAAGUCGAGCGAACAGACGAGGAGCUUGCUCCUUUGACGUUAGCGGCGGACGGGUGAGUAACACGUGGGUAACCUACCUAUAAGACUGGGAUAACUUCGGGAAACCGGAGCUAAUACCGGAUAAUAUUUCGAACCGCAUGGUUCGAUAGUGAAAGAUGGCUCUGCUAUCACUUAUAGAUGGACCUGCGCCGUAUUAGCUAGUUGGUAAGGUAACGGCUUACCAAGGCAACGAUACGUAGCCGACCUGAGAGGGUGAUCGGCCACACUGGAACUGAGACACGGUCCGGACUCCUACGGGAGGCAGCAGUAGGGAAUCUUCCGCAAUGGGCGAAAGCCUGACGGAGCAACGCCGCGUGAGUGAUGAAGGUCUUCGGAUCGUAAAACUCUGUUAUUAGGGAAGAACAAACGUGUAAGUAACUGUGCACGUCUUGACGGUACCUAAUCAGAAAGCCACGGCUAACUACGUG